ACCAAUCUUCAGCCAUUAAACCUAAAAAAAAAAAAAGCAAAAACCCAUUUCUGCUAUCAGAAGCCGAGUGUUCUGUUAGUCUCUUUUGUUCGAAUUUUCCAAAUAGAUAAGUGAACGUUCUUUGUUCAAUUUCCAAGCUUUUUGAUCAUUUCAGUGCCAGCUUGAUUUCUUUUUUCUUUUGGUCAAGAGUUUUAAGGUUGAUUUCUACUCUGUUGGCUUUUUCUUCAACUCAAAAAGAGAAAAAAAAAGAAAAGGAAAAAACUUCAGUGGAAUUUUGUUUGAUUAUACAUUUCUUUCCUUGUAACUUCAAAAAGAAAGAAAAAAG
This 325-nucleotide long non-coding RNA is filed under the name Durio zibethinus. RNAcentral's name for it is "long non-coding RNA (DZIB_LNC000398)". The record is from RNAcentral. Lineage: Eukaryota; Viridiplantae; Streptophyta; Magnoliopsida; Malvales; Malvaceae.